Molecule: long non-coding RNA, 319 nt
Organism: Cervus elaphus (red deer)
Lineage: Eukaryota; Metazoa; Chordata; Mammalia; Artiodactyla; Cervidae
Exons: 3
Source: RefSeq, a predicted model, not a curated record
GGAAGCUGGACAAAGCUGGUCCACAGCCCCGCAACAGGAGGGACCACAUUGGGAGCAAAACAGUUAAUCUGACUCCAUGGUUGGGGUCUGGAUCAGAAAUACCAUUGGACCCUUGGACAUGACAGACCUCUCAGCUGCGAAGAGACCUUUAUCUAUUCUCCCUUCUUCUUGCCCAUUGUGGUAUCUGGUGGUAAGCCCAGCUCCUGACCCAAUGCUCCAGACAAAUGUAUGAAGCGUGAUGGAUUAUGGGAAAGGAAUUUUGGAAAAUGAAUCAUCUUGUGCGGUCAGAACUGGCUAAGAUUGGAAGAAUCUACAAGGU